CUAUUUAUGAGAAUUCUUCUCUCUUAUCA
This 29-nucleotide transfer RNA is filed under the name Sinopodisma tsinlingensis. Its description in RNAcentral is "partial tRNA-Tyr". The record is from RNAcentral. Lineage: Eukaryota; Metazoa; Arthropoda; Insecta; Orthoptera; Acrididae.